GGGGAUAACACUUGGAAACAGGUGCUAAUACCGUAUAACAACAAAAUCCGCAUGGAUUUUGUUUGAAAGGUGGCUUCGGCUAUCACUUCUGGAUGAUCCCGCGGCGUAUUAGUUAGUUGGUGAGGUAGAGGCCCACCAAGACGAUGAUACGUAGCCGACCUGAGAGGGUAAUCGGCCACAUUGGGACUGAGACACGGCCCAAACUCCUACGGGAGGCAGCAGUAGGGAAUCUUCCACAAUGGACGAAAGUCUGAUGGAGCAAUGCCGCGUGAGUGAAGAAGGGUUUCGGCUCGUAAAACUCUGUUGUUAAAGAAGAACACCUUUGAGAGUAACUGUUCAAGGGUUGACGGUAUUUAACCAGAAAGCCACGGCUAACUACGUGCCAGCAGCCGCGGUAAUACGUAGGUGGCAAGCGUUGUCCGGAUUUAUUGGGCGUAAAGCGAGCGCAGGCGGUUUUUUAAGUCUGAUGUGAAAGCCUUCGGCUUAACCGGAGAAGUGCAUCGGAAACUGGGAGACUUGAGUGCAGAAGAGGACAGUGGAACUCCAUGUGUAGCGGUGGAAUGCGUAGAUAUAUGGAAGAACACCAGUGGCGAAGGCGGCUGUCUAGUCUGUAACUGACGCUGAGGCUCGAAAGCAUGGGUAGCGAACAGGAUUAGAUACCCUGGUAGUCCAUGCCGUAAACGAUGAGUGCUAAGUGUUGGAGGGUUUCCGCCCUUCAGUGCUGCAGCUAACGCAUUAAGCAUCCGC
RNAcentral lists this ribosomal RNA (747 nucleotides) under Levilactobacillus brevis. Its description in RNAcentral is "bacterial SSU rRNA". It matches the Rfam family "Bacterial small subunit ribosomal RNA", at positions 139 to 872 of the family's 1533-position model. The record is from RNAcentral. Lineage: Bacteria; Bacillati; Bacillota; Bacilli; Lactobacillales; Lactobacillaceae.